Molecule: ribosomal RNA, 494 nt
Filed under: Dialister invisus
Lineage: Bacteria; Bacillati; Bacillota; Negativicutes; Veillonellales; Veillonellaceae
Description: bacterial SSU rRNA
Rfam family: Bacterial small subunit ribosomal RNA
Source: RNAcentral
GACGAACGCUGGCGGCGUGCUUUAACACAUGCAAGUCGAACGAAAAGACGGAAAGAGCUUGCUCUUUUCAGAAUUGAGUGGCAAACGGGUGAGUAACACGUAAACAACCUGCCUUCAGGAUGGGGACAACAGACGGAAACGACUGCUAAUACCGAAUAAGUUCCAAGAGCCGCAUGGCCCAUGGAAGAAAAGGUGGCCUCUACCUGUAAGCUAUCGCCUGAAGAGGGGUUUGCGUCUGAUUAGCUGGUUGGAGGGGUAACGGCCCACCAAGGCGACGAUCAGUAGCCGGUCUGAGAGGAUGAACGGCCACACUGGAACUGAGACACGGUCCAGACUCCUACGGGAGGCAGCAGUGGGGAAUCUUCCGCAAUGGGCGAAAGCCUGACGGAGCAACGCCGCGUGAGUGAUGACGGCCUUCGGGUUGUAAAACUCUGUGAUCCGGGACGAAAAGGCAGAGUGCGAAGAACAAACUGCAUUGACGGUGCCGGAAAAGC